ACUCUCAACUUUUAUCGCCUUUAUCUCUUUGCGAAAAGCCUCUACGUCAGUCCUAAAGAGCUCAAAAUUCUCAUUCAUAAAGCUAAUAGCAUCUCGAACACCCCCAAGCUCAGUAAAUAUUUUAGUGUUCGAAGAAGCGACCUUAGCAAUUUCACCCUUCACUUCAGUUGAAAACACAUCGAGUCUCCCCACUAGAUCAGCUAAAAAUUUAACGACCUCUUUAAUGCUGUUAGGUUGCUUCUCAGCUAGGGCCUCUGCAACAUUGCCUAUGCUACCAGAGUUCUUAUCAUUGUUUCAGGCACAUGAAAUAAAAUUUCCCAAAAUACUCUUGAGUACACAAAGUAAGAAGCACACAGCUAAAAAAUUAAGAGAAAUACUGGUCUGACUACAAUGCCCAAUAAAAACUCAGCAGCAGCAACAGCGACGGACUUAGUGAUGCCUACGACAUUUAACAUAAAGGUCACCCAACCUGCAAAGAGUGCAGACAGUAGGUUAGGAUGCGUCCUUUCGUCGUCGCCGCUGCUGCCUGAGUGAAGCCAGUUCCAAAAAGACCACGCCCCCAAGAAACAGACUUGAUAAGCUUGAAGCUGCAGAAGGCUCAGGUAGAUGGCGGUUUCGGCAGCGCUGUCCAGGUCCUGGUAAUGGUAAGGCUACAGCAGCACAAUUGAGCAAAUGGUUCGACGCUCAC
Dermacentor silvarum is the source of this 688-nucleotide long non-coding RNA. RefSeq lists it as uncharacterized. The transcript is spliced from 3 exons. The record is from RefSeq and is a predicted model, not a curated record. Lineage: Eukaryota; Metazoa; Arthropoda; Arachnida; Ixodida; Ixodidae.